Molecule: ribosomal RNA, 497 nt
Filed under: uncultured bacterium
Lineage: Bacteria
Description: partial 16S ribosomal RNA
Rfam family: Bacterial small subunit ribosomal RNA
Source: RNAcentral
GAUGAACGCUGGCGGCGUGCCUAAUACAUGCAAGUAGAACGCUGAAGGAAGGAGCUUGCUCUUUCCGGAUGAGUUGCGAACGGGUGAGUAACGCGUAGGUAACCUGCCUGGUAGCGGGGGAUAACUAUUGGAAACGAUAGCUAAUACCGCAUAACAGUAGAUGUUGCAUGAUAUCUACUUAAAAGGUGCAAUUGCACCACUACCAGAUGGACCUGCGUUGUAUUAGCUAGUUGGUGAGGUAACGGCUCACCAAGGCGACGAUACAUAGCCGAACUGAGAGGGUGAUCGGCCAGCCUGGGAGUGAGAACCGGCCCAGACUCCUACGGGAGGCAGCAGUAGGGAAUCGUCGGCAAUGGACGGAAGUCUGACCGAGCAACGCCGCGUGAGUGAAGAAGGUUUUCGGAUCGUAAAGCUCUGUUGUAAGAGAAGAACGAGUGUGAGAGUGGAAAGUUCACACUGUGACGGUAUCUUACCAGAAAGGGACGGCUAACUACGCG